Molecule: ribosomal RNA, 459 nt
Filed under: uncultured bacterium
Lineage: Bacteria
Description: partial 16S ribosomal RNA
Rfam family: Bacterial small subunit ribosomal RNA
Source: RNAcentral
CCUACGGGGGGCAGCAGUGAGGAAUAUUGGUCAAUGGGAGAGAUCCUGAACCAGCCAAGCCGCGUGAGGGUAGACGGCCCUAUGGGUUGUAAACCUCUUUUGUCGGAGAACAAAACCCGGGACGUGUCCCGGACUGCGUGUAUCCGAAGAAAAAGCAUCGGCUAACUCCGUGCCAGCAGCCGCGGUAAUACGGAGGAGGCGAGCGUUAUCCGGCUUUAUUGGGUUUAAAGGGUGCGUAGGCGGUCCGUUAAGUCAGCGGUAAAAUUGCGGGGGUCAACCUAGUCGAGCCGUUGAAACUGGCAGACUUGAGUUGGCGAGAGGUACGCGGAAUGCGCGGUGUAGCGGUGAAAUGCAUAGAGAUCGCGAAGAACUCCGAUUGCGAAGGCAGCGUGCCGGCGCCAGACUGACGCUGAGGCACGAAAGCGUGGGGAUCGAACAGGAUCAGAUACCCGUGUAGUC